Molecule: non-coding RNA, 1077 nt
Organism: Bemisia tabaci
Lineage: Eukaryota; Metazoa; Arthropoda; Insecta; Hemiptera; Aleyrodidae
Source: RefSeq, a predicted model, not a curated record
GGACCUGUCUCUCCCUCUCCACAGUGAGCUCUCAUUGGUCGUGGUAUUUCUCAUCCAUUGGUCGGAGCUUCUACCGUUCACCCUCCCCCCUUCCCUCACAUCUCUCUCUCUCUCCAAUCUUCUUGCCUUCAGAACUCUCUUGCACCGUCGCCCUCCUCGCCCCUGCCGCAACGGCCAGGCGGUUCUGUGCUGAUACCGCCAUUCGCCGCUAUCGUAUCAGUAGUCAGUUCCCCGCGGCUCUCCGAGACUUAUGCCCGUGCGUUCGUGCGGAGCUCAUUUUUACACUCCUGGCCCAAACACUCCACCAGUCACACAUCUUCGACGACCUUUAAGUGUUCAAGUUCGGAUUUGCAACGUCUCGCGUAAUCCUAUUACUCGAGUUCACAUUGGUCCUACUAUACGGUAGCACAGUUUAUUCGUCAUAGAUCCCUUGGUGUUCGGUUGACAAGUGUGUGCGCACCCGAUGAGUUUUAAUUGCUCACAUAACUAGGAAUGGUCCCUACCUAUCCAUUCAUACUUACUUACCUACGUGCUGCAUUGUUCCCUCUUACGUGCAAUUUUUUUUCAAGGGAAGCUAUUUUGUUCGGUCGUGCAAUUGAAAUAUCCACAUUUUUAUCAUCAGUGAUCCGUUACAGUGCAUUCAAAUUUCAAUCACGUGCUUUUAAUUAUCGCCUUACUUAAUUGGAGUCUCUAUAAUCAUCUUCUGGAAGUGCACCUAUGUUCUUCAAUUUUGCGUACCGAUCUGUCAGAUUCAAGGAGAAAUUCGGUAAACAUGAUGGCCUGUUGGAUAGGUUGUGGUUCACGAAUUUAGAUUUGUCUCUGGAAUUUAGGCACACUAUCUGCAUCUGCAUUUCCCGCUCAUUUUCGCGCUAAUAUCCAGCAUCCAGCAUCUUCCCAGAAGAUUUCCUUGAUUGCGAUUCACCAGCGAUUCAUUGAUUGUGAUUCAUUUUGGUGCGAGUAACUAGCAUUCUGCAAGAUUGCGGGGUAUUGAAGUUGAACAAGAAAUUUAGAGGGCAGUAGUAGCCUCCGUAAGUCGUCACCUAUCAGAGCCCCGGGUUAGUGAUUGUUUUUCACAUC